AGAGUUUGAUCCUGGCUCAGGACGAACGCUGGCGGCACGCUUAACACAUGCAAGUCGAACGGACUUGAGAGGGCUUGCUCUCUUAAGUUAGUGGCGGACGGGUGAGUAACACGUGAGCAACCUGCCUUUAAGAGUGGGAUAACGGUCGGAAACGACCGCUAAUACCGCAUAACAUACACGAACCGCAUGGUUUGUGUAUCAAAGAUUUAUCGCUUAAAGAUGGGCUCGCGUCUGAUUAGCUUGUUGGUGAGGUAACGGCUCACCAAGGCGACGAUCAGUAGCCGUACUGAGAGGUAGAACGGCCACAUUGGGACUGAGACACGGCCCAGACUCCUACGGGAAGCAGCAGUGGGGAAUAUUGCACAAUGGAGGAAACUCUGAUGCAGCGAUGCCGCGUGAGGGAAGAAGGUUUUCGGAUUGUAAACCUCUGUCUUAAGGGACGAUAAUGACGGUACCUUAGGAGGAAGCUCCGGCUAACUACGUG
Molecule: ribosomal RNA, 484 nt
Filed under: uncultured Oscillospiraceae bacterium
Lineage: Bacteria; Bacillati; Bacillota; Clostridia; Eubacteriales; Oscillospiraceae
Description: bacterial SSU rRNA
Rfam family: Bacterial small subunit ribosomal RNA
Source: RNAcentral